Mauremys reevesii (Reeves's turtle) is the source of this 1575-nucleotide long non-coding RNA. RefSeq lists it as uncharacterized. NCBI's taxonomy places the organism in Eukaryota, Metazoa, Chordata, Testudines, Geoemydidae. The transcript is spliced from 6 exons. The record is from RefSeq and is a predicted model, not a curated record.
AUGGAGAAUACUCAGACAUCAGUGGGAAUCCCAAAGCGUUCCAGGAUGGCCACUGAUAAAGCCCAGGAACUCAAUUAUUUUUGGCCCAUGGAUCCCUAUAGGUUGGCCUGAAAGGGCCCUACUGUGCAUACAAGAAGUGGUAAGCCCUCAGAGGGAAAUGGCAAGGUACAUGACAUGACUGUGAGACGUAUGAACAGACCUUUUAGUCUGAAGAUAAAUCAGCCUCUUCUGACCAACAAAGGCUGGGGGGCUGAUCCUGUCGGUGCCUGUUAUCAGCACUGGGAGCCUGUGGACGACAUCACUGGAGAAAUCAUCGCUGGCUUUCCUCUUCACAGCACUGUCUGAUCAGACAUUCAGAUAUCAGGAGGUGUCCACAUUAUUGAACACAGUAUUGUAGUAGCUGGCAAAGUGUGACCUGCAGUUGUCGGUACAAUCUGAAAGGACAUCUGUACCAUGAGCAACACCGGUACCCAGAGGCUGAACAAGUCCCUUGUCGCAGCAAAUGCCUCCUGAGUUGAUGGCACAAGGAUAGCCUCUAGUGGAGGAAGCACAGAACGCAAGAUACAGCUCAAGAGGACUCGGGGGGGCAGAGGUGCUUUUAUUACAUCCUUUCAUCUCCUGGAUUUUGAGCUGCUCAGGAUACUGGAGUGACUCCCAGAAUAACAGUAUAUGUCCCACCAAUGAGGUUGCUCUAAUUUACAGCUGCCAGUGGAGUCGUUCUGCAUCCCAGAAUUACAGAUAAAUAUGCACUGAUUCUUCCACUAGAGUUCUUUUUAAGAACCAGUGGACACAUUCUUUGACAGACUCCUGUUAGCUUACUGCUGCAACUCAUUUAAUUACUGCUUAAUUUAAAAAAAAGCUGUGUGUAUGCUUCUUAAUCUAAAUCAAGAAAAGAUACAUAGGCCAUACAUGUCCAUCGAAGUAUCCUGGUCGAUCUGCUGGUUGAUAAACUCUGGUACUACAGAAAAACAGAUUUGCUUUCCUGUGCAAGGUUUACAUUUUUUUCCCUGCUGUGCACUUAUAUACCCUUCAUUGUUUAUUUGAUUGACAGGUGUACUCUUUGAUUCUGCUGUUGAGACAGAAGAGCCUGUUGGGUUUUUCAUCCAUGAGCGUAUGCUUGUCACCAUUUCCUCCAUAUAAAGGGCAUCAAGUACUAGAAAAGACAUAAAAGAUAACAGUUUAUACUGACUCCAUAAACAGGAUUCAUUUUAAAUUGUCACAUCCUAGUAGAUCAAGAAAAAAUAAUAUAGUCUUGCAGGAACUACAUUUAAAGUCUACUUUUGUGUAUGAAGUCAUUCCAUCAACUCGGGUUACCUUAAAGAAGUCAUCUUGAGCGAGUAUACUGCAAUUUGGAAGCUGUUUCCUAAGUCGUUUUGCCAGUGUUGUUUUCCCCCCAUUUGUCACACUGACUUUGAAAAUGGAAUAAACAAUGUGUCAGGACAAAAAUAAUGCAUAACAUAGGAGUGCAAUGUGCGCUAGCAAAAAGGCAAUUACAAAAAGUUAAUUUUAUUCAGAAUAAUUUGCAAUUUCCUAACAUUUGUUUGGAAAAUACUUAGUCCUGCCAUGAGUACAGGG